Molecule: ribosomal RNA, 206 nt
Filed under: uncultured bacterium
Lineage: Bacteria
Description: partial 16S ribosomal RNA
Rfam family: Bacterial small subunit ribosomal RNA
Source: RNAcentral
AGCGUAGACGGUGUGGCAAGUCUGAUGUGAAAGGCAUGGGCUCAACCUGUGGACUGCAUUGGAAACUGUCAUACUUGAGUGCCGGAGGGGUAAGCGGAAUUCCUAGUGUAGCGGUGAAGUGCGUAGAUAUUAGGAGGAACACCAGUGGCGAAGGCGGCUUACUGGACGGUAACUGACGUUGAGGCUCGAAAGCGUGGGAGCAAACA